This is a long non-coding RNA of Passer domesticus (house sparrow), 4545 nucleotides long. RefSeq lists it as uncharacterized. NCBI's taxonomy places the organism in Eukaryota, Metazoa, Chordata, Aves, Passeriformes, Passeridae. The transcript is spliced from 2 exons. The record is from RefSeq and is a predicted model, not a curated record.
GGGAUCCCGUAUGCGGGACUGGAAUCAAGGGUCGGGGAAAGGGGAAUAGGGAGGUCGCGCAUCCCGCUUUUGCGGCAUAGGGUCUAAAGGGGACAGAGCGGGAUCCCAUCCGGGGUUUCCCUGUCAGCCGCGGUUCAGAAUCCUAUUAACAGAAUCAUCUACAUUGGAAACGACCUCUAAGGCUGUCGAGUCUAACCUACGGCCAAACCACCGUGUGAACUAGACCACGGCACCAAGGGUCACGUCCAGCCUUUCCCUAAGAGACAGUAACUCCACCACCUUCCAGGGCAGUCCAUUCCAAUACCUAAUCACCCGUUCUGUGAAGAAAUUCUUCCUAAAGUCCAACCAAACCCCCGCUUCGUGGCACCUUGUGAGGAGGCACCAUCGCUAUUUUCUGUGUCCUCUGGUGGAAGCUCCUCGCCCCCUUGUGCUCCGGGAGAAAGGAAAAAGAGGCGCCAGAAACAAGUGCAGUGCGUUUUCAUCGCUCACAACACAUGAUACAAUGUUGCUUGUACAGCGGAUGUUUAUCCAGGGCGUGGGCAUGAUGUGUUCUCCCAAUAAUUUGCCAGAGCAAGAUGAAGUGCGUUGGAAAUAAGUUGUGAUGGCUUCUCUCCAUGGGUCUGCCUCUUGUUCACGAAAACCAUUACCUGCUGUCUUUGGAAAUGCUCUCUGUGGGGGUGUGUGAGCACCAAAGGGAUGAGAUCUGUGUAGAGGGGACACAGCUCAGAAGGAAAGCAGGAAAAAGCUCUGCCUGGUUUGGGAACCUCAACCCAGCUGCAGGAAUGAAUCAGGCUGGGGGUAAUUCUGUGAUUCACACCACAUAUUGCAGUGCAAGGACAAGCACAGGGUCAGGGUUUGAGGGAGAGAAUGAGGAAGAGAGGUUCUUAUGACUACUUGGAGUGGUCACGAGGCUGGGGCAGGGUGCCAGGCUGCUCCAGAGGCUGGGAGGAGACAGGCUGCCUCCAGCAGCCACCCAGAGCAGGUGCAGCUCUGAGGCCAUCUGCAGUAUAGCCAUGCCUGUAGUGUGCACAGCACCUGGUGGUGGGACCAGCAUACGAUCAGCACAGAAAAGAACUUUUUCCCAACCAAGCAUGUGCUUAGAGAAAAAAAAAAAAAUCUUCAUUUAUUUUUAACCAGGCUAAUGCCAGUCCAAUUUAUUCUCCUUAUCCUUGGAAUUUCUUGUUGUUUUCUGGGAAUUUUAGAAGUCUUGUCUUGCAGCAGUCUCCAGCUUUCAUUAUACAGUUCAAGUAAUUGUGAGUCUUGCAUCACAGCUGGCUUGGUUCUACUUAUCUAGCCAGGCAUGGUCAAGCUCCUGGAAGUAUUGGCAAAAGCUGGCACAUUCCAUGUCCUUCUGGUAGAUCUCCACCUGAAUCUUUGGCUCAUCACUGUUCAAGAUUCCUGAGAUACCCAUAUAAAGCUCUUUGUACAGCAAGAUUGACCACCGUAUUUUGUGAGUUCUUAACUACAAAAUGGUACAUGUCAGAUACCUUGAACAGGUGCCUGGCAUGUUCAGGAUCAAUAUGGAAUUUGUACCUCACUUUAAAACAUCAGCAAAUCCCAAAUUUGGAAGGCUCAGGUCUAACUAGUAAUUUCACUGGCUGUUAGCUUUUGGAUCUGGCUCAACUGUACAUUGAACCAGAGAAUACAAAAUGCACUGUGAAAAAUACUCAUAGCUUUCAGCUGUACAAACAGAAAGUAAGAGCACCAAGCCUUUGCUUUUCACAUUGUUUUAAAUAAUAGUGGCAGCCAAUCACAUUGACCUGAAGCAUCAUACAACAGGGAAUGUGCCAGAAAAGAUCGAGAAAAAAGGUUUUUGGAGUAGCUUUGAAAGAUCCCACUCAGGUCUUGCAAUUAAAUUCUCUCAAUUUUUCAAGAGAAAUGUUACUGGUAAAUUGUAAUUAGCAUGGAGAUUUUUUUAUCAAAUCAGAAUUUUGCACCUUAAACUGCAGUAGUUUUUAUCCAAUGCUUCCAACCCUCAAACUAACUUAUAAGGCCCUAUGCAGGCAAGAAUAUUAUAAGACUGCUGGACAGAGUUUUUUCCCCUGUCAUGAUAAAAGCAGUAGUUGAAAUCAGUAAGGGCUUUAGAGAUAGUUCUCCAUUACUGUAGUAAAUAGACAUGGUUAAAGACUUACUACUUGGCAGAGCUCUUUCUCCACAGCUUUGACACAAACAGAAUGGGUUGGGGUUUUUCUCUCUUUACAGCUGUCAUGAUGAAAGGGAACAUAUCUCUGACUAUCUGUUUGCUUUGUGUUAUUUUCACUUUGAAAGUACAUGUUAAAGAUAGCAUUGUAGAAAGAGAAAUGGAAACAGUGUAAGGAUCAACUCGGCCAUAAAUCCUUAAGGUAAUGUUAAAUAUAAUUUAUUUGGUAUAAGCUAAAAUAAUUCAAGGAAAACAUAAUAAACAGUAAUAUAAAGGUCAAGUGUUACACUGACUGUAUAGUCUUGGGAAUAAAAAAACCAAAAUAUGUGGUAAGAAGAUGUAAAACUUAGAAGCAGUGCUUAAAUAUGUACUUAAAAUGUUACUGAAAUGAGACCGAGGUUGGGAUAAUCAAGAGAGGGUUCCUGUGAUUAUGAAAGGGUAUUUUUCAGUAAAGAGACACAGAAUGCACAACAUCCAAUACUGCAUGAACUGAAAAAUUAUAUCUAGAUGAGGGUUACCUGCUUAAACAGACACAGAAAUUAAUCAGUUCAAAGAUACAUGGUAGAGAGGUGGUAUGCAAUACUAGUGCUAGUAGGAGGGGUAUGAAACAGAAAUACUCAGAUGGCAGAAGGAGAGAAGCUGAAAUCAUCACCUUUGGACUGAGUUAUGGGACAGCUGCAAGUAAUAUGAGCUCUUAGUUCUCAUAGAUCACUAAAGAAGUGCAGUUUAGACUUCUGAUAGUACAUCAGUAAAGAAAUCCAAGCAAUGAAUCUGCCUUCAAGUUGAGUUUUGUGGCUGGGAUAUGAUAAGUGAGUCAAGGCCUUGAAAGGUCUGGAGUUAGCAAUCCAUAAAGGAGCUGAUUGCCACAGUGUGCAGCCUCCCAGGUCCUAUGAGCAAGAGACUUAGACCCUAGAAGUACCAGUGAAGAAUUAUAUUUACUUCUAAUUUUCUCCUAAGAUGAAUAGCAAUCUAUUGACCUUGGUUAUUCUGCAAAAACUUCAGGCUAUCCACAUUUAUUUCAUCCUUUAGGAAUAUAAGCUACUAAUUCUGUGACUAUUGAAGGUAAUGAAGCCCGUUUUUCUGCAAAGUUUCUUCCUGGUUGGCUAUUAUUUACCUGAAUUAUAUUUUCUAUUAUGACUGCAUAUGCCUAACAUCUUCUACUGCAGAGCAUUUUGACAGCAAAGAGCAGGCUGCCAUGCUCAGAAGUGGAAAUUUGUAUAAAUUUGCUGACUGGAUAGGAAGUUAUUUAAUGUUGGCUCCUAAAUGUUCAGUUCCUUGUGUCUCCUGUCUGGUUAUCUAUUUCUAUGAAAUUUCUGUGAACGAUAUUAUCUCUCAAGCUCCACUGAACCUGGAUAAUGCUUUCAAGGUUAUUGAACUUGGGACAGAGAGAGGCAGAGGUUGCAUAAACCUUGUUUUCAUAUAGCCUACCAGGCUAUAAUCAGACGGCAUCCUGUCUGAAUGCUGAGCUGGGAACAGAACCCUUUUUUAUCUGCAAGCUAUCUCCAAGUCCAGAAAAACAAGCAAACAAACCACAACAAAACAAACAAACAAAGGAAUAUGAAAACUGUAAUCCCCAUCUUAUCUAAAGUAUGGGGGAUUGUGUCGGCUUGUCUGUUGAUAGUGGUAGAGAAUAUUCUUAUGAGUUCCUGUAAUUACUUUAGGUUCAUCAUUACUUCACUGGGAGUUUUGUAUAUAAAGAAAAGCAGGCUUUGCAGAGCUAUUACAGUUGUUUGUGUGGAUUGGGUUCCUCCUCCACCUUAAGUAGUCCAGGGAAUACUUAUGCUGACAUGUUGUAAUGUUUUUCUUUAUAUUUCUCUCUAGUUAAUUUGGACACUUGAAAGAAAAUGUUCAUUCCCUAUAUUACAGUUUUCUUAGUAAGAAAUUUUGCAAAAGAGAUACAAGUUAACAAGACAAAAAUAAGAAACCUACUUUUUAGUGAAUUUACCCUUUAUUUCUGUUUAUUUUGCAAGUCACUCUAGUCCCAGGAAGCACUAGACUGAUUUAUACGGGUUUGCAACAGUGACUUAUUUGCAGUUUUGCAAAAUAUGCUAAGUUUCAUCAUUGAUGGGCAGGUAAAGUCACAGACAGGCCAAAACAAAAAAAACCCUAAUAUUAAUGUAUAUUAAAUCUUAUAAUAACUAAGAUAUACUAUCUUAUACUAUCUUAAAAACAUAUUCCACUGUCUUAUUUUGGACUUUUAAAAGUUCAGUUUUGAAACAUCCUUUUUUUCCCCUCCUAAAGUAUAAGCUGUACUUGUGAAUUGCUGCUUCUAAUCGUAUUCUAUGGUAAAUAUUUUAGACACAAUACUUGGAUGUAGUUUGUCACAGAUACUUUCAAUGCUCUGUAAUUUCUGAUGGUGGGGCCUGAGCACUGAGUUAUUUUUCAUGAAUAAAACAUAAGCAGUA